Molecule: ribosomal RNA, 1432 nt
Filed under: Trachelomonas sp. Bidduk050909G
Lineage: Eukaryota; Euglenozoa; Euglenophyceae; Euglenales; Euglenaceae
Description: SSU rRNA
Rfam family: Bacterial small subunit ribosomal RNA
Source: RNAcentral
GGAUGAACGCUGGCGGCAUGCUUAACACAUGUAAGUUGAACGCUUUAGGUUUUUAAAUCUAAAUCAAGUAACGGACGGGUGAGUAAUGAAAGUUAGAAUCUGCAUUUAGGUAGAGGAUAACAAAUGGAAACGUUUGCUAAUACUCUGUAAAGCUAUUAAGUUAAAGACUUUUGUCACCUAAAUAUGAGCUUGCUUCUGAUUAGUUUGUUGGUAGGGUAAUGGCCUACCAAGACGAUGAUCAGUAAUUGAUUUGAGAGGAUGAUCAGUCACAUCGAAACUGAGAUUUACGGUUCGGACUUCUACGGAAGGCAACAGUGGGGAAUAUUUCGCAAUGGGUGAGAGCCUGACGAAGCAAUGCCGCGUGGAGGAAGAAUGCCUUAGGGUUGUAAACUCCUUUUCUCAUUGAAGAAUAUAUGACGCGAUUUGAGGAAUAAGCAUCAGCUAAUUCUGUGCCAGCAGCUGCGGUAAUACAGGAGAUGCAAGCGUUAUCCGGAAUUAUUGGGCUUAAAGCGUGCGUAGGUUGUUAAAUGUGUUUGACAUUAAAUUUUAAAGCUUAACUUUAUUCAAGUGUCGAAAACUAUUUAACUUGAGUAUGAUAGAGGUAAAGGGAAUUUUCAGUGUAGAGGUGAAAUUCGUAGAUAUUGGGAAGAACACCGGUGGCGAAAGCGCUUUACUAGGUUUAUACUGACACUGAGGUACGAAAGCCAGGGUAGCGAAACGGAUUAGAUACCCGUCUGUAGUCCUGGCCGUAAACGAUGGAUACUAAAUGGUGUUUUUGCACUGUUAAAGCUAAAGCGUUAAGUAUCCCGCCUGGGGAGUACGCUUGCAAAAGUGAAACUCAAAGGAAUUGACGGGGGCCCGCACAAGCGGUGGAGGAUGCGGUUUAAUCCAAUGGUACGUGGAGAACCUUACCAGAAUUUGACAUGCUAGGUAGUUUUCGAAUGAAAAUGUGCCUUUUGGAACCUAGACACAGGUGGUGCAUGGCUGUCGUCAGCUCGUGUAGUGAUAUAUUGGGUUAAGUCCCGCAACGAGCGCAACCCUUUUUUUUAGUUGUUUUUUUAAUUUCUAGGAAUACUGCCGAUAAUAAGUCGGAGGAAGGAUUAGGAUGACGUCAAGUCCUCAUGCCCCUUAUAUUCUGGGCUACACGCGUCCUACAAUGGUUAAUACAGUGAGUUGCAACUUCGUGAGAGGAAGCUAAUCUUUAAAAUUAACCUUAGUUCAGAUCGGAGGCUGAAACUCGCCUCCGUGAAGGUGGAAUCGCUAGUAAUCGCCCAUCAGCAUUGGGGCGGUGAAUACGUUCCCGGGCCUUGUACACACCGCCCGUCACGCCUUGAAAGUUGGCUAUGCCUAAAGAUAUUAUUUUAACAGUUUGGUGAAUGUAUUUAGGGCCGGGUUGGCAAUUGAGGCGAAGUCGUAACAAGGUAGCCGUACU